RNAcentral lists this ribosomal RNA (525 nucleotides) under Anaplasma phagocytophilum. RNAcentral describes it as "bacterial SSU rRNA". It matches the Rfam family "Bacterial small subunit ribosomal RNA", at positions 72 to 628 of the family's 1533-position model. The record is from RNAcentral. Lineage: Bacteria; Pseudomonadati; Pseudomonadota; Alphaproteobacteria; Rickettsiales; Anaplasmataceae.
UUUAUAGCUUGCUAUAAAGAAUAAUUAGUGGCAGACGGGUGAGUAAUGCAUAGGAAUCUACCUAGUAGUAUGGGAUAGCCACUAGAAAUGGUGGGUAAUACUGUAUAAUCCCUGCGGGGGAAAGAUUUAUCGCUAUUAGAUGAGCCUAUGUUAGAUUAGCUAGUUGGUAGGGUAAAGGCCUACCAAGGCGAUGAUCUAUAGCUGGUCUGAGAGGAUGAUCAGCCACACUGGAACUGAGAUACGGUCCAGACUCCUACGGGAGGCAGCAGUGGGGAAUAUUGGACAAUGGGCGCAAGCCUGAUCCAGCUAUGCCGCGUGAGUGAGGAAGGCCUUAGGGUUGUAAAACUCUUUCAGUAGGGAAGAUAAUGACGGUACCUACAGAAGAAGUCCCGGCAAACUCCGUGCCAGCAGCCGCGGUAAUACGGAGGGGGCAAGCGUUGUUCGGAAUUAUUGGGCGUAAAGGGCAUGUAGGCGGUUCGGUAAGUUAAAGGUGAAAUGCCAGGGCUUAACCCUGGAGCUGCUUUA